RNAcentral lists this ribosomal RNA (308 nucleotides) under uncultured Citrobacter sp. Its description in RNAcentral is "bacterial SSU rRNA". It matches the Rfam family "Bacterial small subunit ribosomal RNA", at positions 355 to 655 of the family's 1533-position model. The record is from RNAcentral. Lineage: Bacteria; Pseudomonadati; Pseudomonadota; Gammaproteobacteria; Enterobacterales; Enterobacteriaceae.
UGGGAAGUAUUGCACAAUGGCGCAAGCCUGAUGCAGCCAUGCCGCGUGUAUGAAGAAGGCCUUCGGGUUGUAAAGUACUUUCAGCGAGGAGGAAGGUGUUGUGGUUAAUAACCACAGCAAUUGACGUUACUCGCAGAAGAAGCACCGGCUAACUCCGUGCCAGCAGCCGCGGUAAUACGGAGGGUGCAAGCGUUAAUCGGAAUUACUGGGCGUAAAGCGCACGCAGGCGGUCUGUCAAGUCGGAUGUGAAAUCCCCCGGGCUCAACCUGGGAACUGCAUCCGAAACUGGCAGGCUAGAGUCUUGUAGA